RNAcentral lists this ribosomal RNA (253 nucleotides) under uncultured bacterium. Its description in RNAcentral is "partial 16S ribosomal RNA". It matches the Rfam family "Bacterial small subunit ribosomal RNA", at positions 524 to 776 of the family's 1533-position model. The record is from RNAcentral.
GACGUAGGUGGCGAACGUUAUCCGGAAUCAUUGGGCGUAAAGGGUGCGUAGAUGGCAUGAUAAGUUAUUAGUGGGAAAUCGAGGCUCAACCUCGUGGAAGCUAGUAAUACUGUUUUGCUUGAGUACAGAAGAGGUUAAUGGAAUUCCAUGUGGAGCGGUAAAAUGUGUAGAUAUGUGGAGGAACACCGAUGGCGAAGGCAGCCCCCUGGGAUAACACUGACGCUCAUGCACGAAAGCGUGGGGAGCAAACAGG